AUACGGAGGGUGCAAGCGUUAAUCGGAAUUACUGGGCGUAAAGCGCGCGUAGGCGGUUUGAUAAGUCGGAUGUGAAAUCCCCGGGCUCAACCUGGGAAUUGCAUUCGAUACUGUCAGGCUAGAGUGUGGUAGAGGGAAGUGGAAUUUCCGGUGUAGCGGUGAAAUGCGUAGAUAUCGGAAGGAACACCAGUGGCGAAGGCGGCUUCCUGGACCAACACUGACGCUGAGGUGCGAAAGCGUGGGGAGCAAACAGGAGUAGAAACCCCAGUAGUCC
Molecule: ribosomal RNA, 274 nt
Filed under: uncultured bacterium
Lineage: Bacteria
Description: partial 16S ribosomal RNA
Rfam family: Bacterial small subunit ribosomal RNA
Source: RNAcentral